RNAcentral lists this ribosomal RNA (248 nucleotides) under uncultured Lachnospiraceae bacterium. RNAcentral's name for it is "partial 16S ribosomal RNA". It matches the Rfam family "Bacterial small subunit ribosomal RNA", at positions 524 to 771 of the family's 1533-position model. Lineage: Bacteria; Bacillati; Bacillota; Clostridia; Lachnospirales; Lachnospiraceae. The record is from RNAcentral.
UACGUAGGUGGCAAGCGUUAUCCGGAUUUAUUGGGUGUAAAGGGCGUGUAGGCGGAGGCGCAAGUCAGAUGUGAAAGCCCGGGGCUCAACCCAUAGCCUGCAUUUGAAACUGUAGUUCUUGAGUACUGGAGAGGCAGGCGGAAUUCCUGGUGUAGCGGUGAAAUGCGUAGAUAUCAGGAGGAACACCGGUGGCGAAGGCGGCCUGCUGGACUGUAACUGACGUUGAGGCUCGAAAGCGUGGGGAGCAA